ACGCAAGUCUGAUGGAGCAACGCCGCGUGAGUGAAGAAGGUUUUCGGAUCGUAAAGCUCUGUUGUUGGUGAAGAAGGAUAGAGGUAGUAACUGGCCUUUAUUUGACGGUAAUCAACCAGAAAGUCACGGCUAACUACGUGCCAGCAGCCGCGGUAAAUACGUAGGUGGCAAGCGUUGUCCGGAUUUAUUGGGCGUAAAGCGAGCGCAGGCGGAAAAAUAAGUCUAAUGUGAAAGCCCUCGGCUUAACCGAGGAACUGCAUCGGAAACUGUUUUUCUUGAGUGCAGAAGAGGAGAGUGGAACUCCAUGUGUAGCGGUGGAAUGCGUAGAUAUAUGGAAGAACACCAGUGGCGAAGGCGGCUCUCUGGUCUGCAACUGACGCUGAGGCUCGAAAGCAUGGGUAGCGAACASNNUUAGAUACCCUGGUAGUCCAUGCCGUAAACGAUGAGUGCUAAGUGUUGGGAGGUUUCCGCCUCUCAGUGCUGCAGUAACGCAUUAAGCACUCCGCCUGGGGAGUACGACCGCAAGGUUGAAACUCAAAGGAAUUGACGGGGGCCCGCACAAGCGGUGG
This 569-nucleotide ribosomal RNA is filed under the name uncultured bacterium. RNAcentral describes it as "bacterial SSU rRNA". It matches the Rfam family "Bacterial small subunit ribosomal RNA", at positions 375 to 935 of the family's 1533-position model. The record is from RNAcentral.